ACGCGAGGAGGGUUGAGGGGUCUGGAAGGUUCUGGUCUCUUACCGUAUAAAGUUUUUCGAGAAACCCUUUUUCCCUCCACAAUGGAACUAGACCUAACAAAACAAGCUCCGAGGCAGUUUAGGAGAAAGGAGGACGCAUUUGCAAGUGAGGAAGCAGCACAACCCUGGGUUUUAGAUAAUUUCUAACAGAGAGGCCCCAGCAAUUCAGCAGGCAGCGUCCUGAGUCUUUGGCAGCCUGGUCCCUCUUUCGCAAAUUCUCCACCUUUGCGAACAGAGGGUCUUUAGGACACAGAUUCUUAAAAGUGCAGGUAAGC
Molecule: long non-coding RNA, 314 nt
Filed under: Homo sapiens (human)
Lineage: Eukaryota; Metazoa; Chordata; Mammalia; Primates; Hominidae
Description: non-protein coding lnc-GPR15-3:1
Source: RNAcentral